GUACACUGCAGCCAGGACAGCUAGUGACAGCCAGUACUGAGUACACUGCAGCCAGGACAGGUAGUGACAGCCACCAGUGCUGAGUACACUGCAGCUAGGACAGGUAGUGACAGCCAGUACUGAGUACACUGAAGCCAGGACACAUAGUGACAGCCAGUGCUGAGUACAUUUCAGCUAGGGCAAGGAGUGAAAGCCAGUGCUGAGUACACUGCAGCCAGUGCUGAAUACACUGCAGCCAGGGAAGGCAGUGACGGCCAGUGCUGAGUACACAGCAGCCAGGGCAGGUAGUGACAGCCAGGACUAAGUACACUGCAGCCAAUGACAGCUAGUGCUGAAUACACUGCAGCCAGUGCUGAGUACAUUUCAGCCAGGGCAAGGAGUGACAGCCAGUGCUGAGUACACUGCAGCCAGUGCUGAGUACACUGCAGCCAGGGCAGGUAAUGACAGCCAGUGCUGAGUACACAGCAGCCAGGGCAGGUAGUGACAGUUAGUACUGAGUACACUGCAGCCAGGGCAGGUAGUGACAGACGGUGCUGAGUACACUUUAUCCAGUGACAGUCAGUGCUGAAUACACUGCAGCCAGGGCAAAUUGUGACAGCCAGUGAUGAGUACACUGCAGCCAAUGAUGGCUAGUGCUGAAUACACUGCAGCCAUGUCAGGCAGUGACAGCCAGUGCUGAUUACACUGCAGCCAGGGAAAGGAGUGACAGCCGUUGCUAAGUACACUGCAUCCUGUGACAACCAGUGCUGAGUACAUUGCCGCCAUGUCAGGUAGUGACAGCCAGUGCAGAGUACACGGCAGCCAGGUCAGGCAGUGACAGCCAAUGCUGAGUACAUUGCAGCCAGGACAGGUAGUGACAGCCAGUGCUGAGUACAUUUCAGCCAGGGCAAGGAGUGACAGCCAGUGCUGAGUACACUGCAGCCAGUGCUGAGUACACUGCAGCCAGGGCAAGGAGUGACAGCCAGUGCUGAGUACACUGCAGCCAGUAACAGGUAGUGACAGCCAGUGCUGAAUACACUGCAGCCAGGGCAGGUAGUGACAGCCACCAGUGCUGAGUACACUGCAGCCAGGACAGGUAGUGACAGCCAGUGCUGAGUACACUGCAGCCAGGAU
Long non-coding RNA from Bufo bufo (common toad), 1113 nucleotides. RefSeq lists it as uncharacterized. NCBI's taxonomy places the organism in Eukaryota, Metazoa, Chordata, Amphibia, Anura, Bufonidae. The record is from RefSeq and is a predicted model, not a curated record. The transcript is spliced from 3 exons.